ACAAGCGUAAUUAAAGAUACUUAAAUGGGUUUUUGCAUGUUAAAAUGUUUUAGGGAAUGGUGGUUCUGGCAGUGCACUAGAGGGCGCUGUGGGAGUGCUGCGUGUUGCAAGGUGUCUGCUGGGCUGCAGGUCAUAACCCAGCAAGACAAGAGCUGAUCACACGCAUGGUUUUGUCCUGUCUUUAUUUCACCAUUCCACAGGUUAGCUGACUGUUUAAUGUGCCAAUCUACAUAGAUGUUGAUAUAGCAUAUGUCAGUGCAUAUUAAGUGCUUUAGUUCGAUUUGUUCUGAUGAAUAGUUGUAUGUUUAAUCCUUACUUAAAAAUCGCUAUGCUAAUGCUAUGCUAACCCGCGAGUGAAGGACUAAUGUAUGCCCUGUGAUAUGUGAUAAUGGUUACUGAAGGUGAAUAUGUUUUAAUGUGUUUGUAUAUCAGUUCGUAUAAAUGUUAGUUUACUUUUAAAAUGCAUGUGAGUGAUCUAAAAUGGGUGAAACAUUUAAAUAGUGUCAUGAUUUAAGAUGUAUUUAGUACAGUUGAAUUGAAUAGAGACUCAGACAUGCUAAAUAGUACAUGAAUAUGUAAAUGAGUAACACUGCGAUUGGCUGAACAACAGAUCUUCAUCGAAAUACUUUGCAUUCACAAGAGAGAGAGAUUGAAACAGUGGACAUUUACAUAGAGAAGCAAUCUAUUGUUCAUAAGAAUGGCAAUCCAUGCAGCUCAACCAGCAAUGCACCCCUAAGAUGCAAAUGUGUGGAAACACGCACCACCCAUAAAGGCUCCAAUUUUAUUUUUAAAGAAAAAGAGGUCAAAAUAGACACCUACAAUUCCAACAUGCAAUGCGUGUUGAGUGAUGGCAAGGAGAUGUACAUGGUGUCAAAAUCUGGCCAUGACACCAAUUUUGAUGCUGGCCUUUCUUAUGUAAUAAAAAAUUUUGUUUUAAAUUUUAGAAAGCAUUUAUACAUUUAGGCGAAGGUAUUUGUUAGUUGGCCCCAAAACCUUAAUUUUUAGAACAGCUCCACUGGACCUACCAGAGGAAGCAGAGAGAGCAGCGAGGGAGACCCUUUAUCCACUUUCACAAGAAGUGACUGGUGAAGAAAAGGACCUCUUUUCAAGACCCGGAUUUUUUACUGUCCAGGGCAAAAUUAAAACUGUCGCCCAGGGACAAAGAGUGGUGCAGGAGCUGGAGGUUGACGGGGUACUGGAGAAGGAAGACACCUUUAUCCUGCUUGACAGCUUGUGUGAAGAGUACAUCUUGCCUGUUGAGGUGUACUCCGGCAGCCUCGAAGAACUAAUAGAGAGGCUGCCAUUUAAAGUAUCUGUAGAGAGCGUUAAUAAAAGAGUACACAAAUUUAAUGCGAUAGAGGCAAGUUUGUAAAUAGACCCAUGGAUUUAUGAUUUUUUUUGUAUGAUAGUUUUGUUUUAAUAAUUUGUUCAUUUGUUUGUUUUUAGGGUUUAAUUGUCAUUUAUUUCAUGUGCAAUUCUGUUUCUAUUUGAUAAAUGUUCUGUUUAAUUCUA
This is a long non-coding RNA of Tachysurus fulvidraco (yellow catfish), 1512 nucleotides long. RefSeq lists it as uncharacterized. The transcript is spliced from 3 exons. NCBI's taxonomy places the organism in Eukaryota, Metazoa, Chordata, Actinopteri, Siluriformes, Bagridae. The record is from RefSeq and is a predicted model, not a curated record.